RNAcentral lists this ribosomal RNA (251 nucleotides) under uncultured prokaryote. RNAcentral describes it as "partial 16S rRNA". It matches the Rfam family "Bacterial small subunit ribosomal RNA", at positions 525 to 775 of the family's 1533-position model. The record is from RNAcentral.
ACGUAGGGAGCAAGCGUUGUCCGGAAUUACUGGGCGUAAAGGGUGCGUAGGCUGUUUGGAAAGUCAGAUGUGAAAUCCCCGGGCUUAACUCGGGUGGUGCAUUUGAAACUUCCAGACUUGAGUGCAGGAGAGGAAAGCGGAAUUCCUAGUGUAGCGGUGAAAUGCGUAGAUAUUAGGAGGAACACCAGUGGCGAAGGCGGCUUUCUGGACUGUAACUGACGCUGAGGCACGAAAGCGUGGGGAGCAAACAG